Molecule: unclassified non-coding RNA, 7408 nt
Filed under: Rhagoletis pomonella (apple maggot)
Lineage: Eukaryota; Metazoa; Arthropoda; Insecta; Diptera; Tephritidae
Description: uncharacterized LOC118738914, transcript variant X4
Source: RNAcentral
GCAAUCAACAACUUUCGUACACCUCCGACAGUUCUUUGUAAUCGCUCAACGAGCAGCUGGAUUAAAAUUGUAGGGAGAGCUGCAUAUUUUUGGUUUUAUUUAUAAAAAAGUAAAAGCACGCUAAUAGGCUAUAAAUAUACAUACGCCAAUAAACAGCAGUAGCAAAAGCCCUCUACUGAAGACCUACAACGGGUGGAUGAAGCGUUGAAGUGGAGCUUGGAAGUCACAAAAGUUUGCCCAUCAAAGCGACAGAAAAAGAGAAAGAGUAACAAUGGACAUUUUGGACAUCGAUGAAGCGUUGAAAGAUGAUUCUUUUAUCUGCUUGGAAGAUAAAACACACGAUGACGUUUCGAAUAUAUUGCAGCAAUGGAAAAGCAACAAUUGUCCGCUACCAACGCAAUAUCAGCAGGAACAAGCUUACAAACUAAACUCGAGAACAUUUACGCGUCCUCGCAGGAAGUUGGCGCAAAAUCUUGAAUCGCCCUUUGCACACACCUCUGGUAGUAAUGGUGCGCAAUCAACGCUUCCAACUCAUUCCGAACAGCUGUCACAUAAAUUUACCAUUGCCACGCCUCAGCCGCCGAUUUUCAAUCUCGAAAUUGGCGGUCUAGUUACAACGAUGCAUAAGUCAUUUUUGCAAGACACGUCACCCCCCUCAUCCAUUUGUUCCUCCAUGGAGAUGUCAAUGGAGCGCAUGAAUAACUCACUGAUCACGUCAGCGGACUUUACUAACAUAAACUUUCUACAAUCGACACAAAGCCUAGAUUUCAACGAGCCAAUGCUUAAUGGUGGCGAAUUGUUCAACUUAGCCAAUAAGGCAACCAGUGAUGGUUAUACGUUAAGCGACAUGAUACGCGAUAGGAAAGCACUCGAAUCGCUAACAAUGUCGGGUGAUGGCACACUCAUAAAAGAUUCGCAUAUCGGUCAGAUCGAUGAUAUAUCACUUGCGCUCAGCAAAACGGCAUCGGGUUACAGUACCUUGGACAAUUCCACGGAGAGCAUGCAAGAUGAGCAACAGCAGGGUAAUGGUCUAAAUGCGGCGGCCAAUGCUACCACAGUGGGUGUUGGUGGCGGUAGCUUGCCUGACGGCAAAAACAACAUUAUGCAUCGUACCAUGCUGCUUAGUGAUGAUGUAAUCAGUGAUACAACUUUUGAUUUGGUUGAAAGCAGUUUGUGUGAAAGCAUCGAAAAUGGAAAUGGAAAUAACCCAGCAACUGCACCCACAUCCGCUAAACUCAUCAACGAGACGUUCAAGAGGCCAUGGCCAAUGGACGAGACUGUUUGUCUUCCCACAAAAGCCAAUGCAACAUUCGAAUUUAAACAGCUAACACCAGAUGCGCGUUUAGCGUCAGAAACGCGUUGUGAAACUCCAGAAAAUUUGGCCGAAACAGUGGCCGCACGCAAGUUCUACGAGUCAACACCGCAUGCUGCUGGCAUGGGCAAAGACGCUCAGCAUCUUACACCUACGACCUCGAAGUUAACAAUAGAUGAGAGCAAUCUUUCGCCUAUAGUGGGCUCGCCGGAGAAAUUGAAUGCAACACGCGUGCUGCAUGAAACCUUCGGUCAGGAGUCGGACGUCAAAAAAGUGAAUUCGAAAACAUUUUCAGGCACUUUGCCACGUCUUGAGAGUAUCGAACAAAUGUUAGAUGAUAUUGAAAAUCCCAAUGAGACUUACGAGAAAGUAUCUGCGCGCACACAAGAACUGCAACAAAGCGCGGCCGAUAUACAAAUGCAAAAUGUAUUGGAGCUCGCGCACGCUGAGGAAGAGCUUUUGGCAAGCAAUAACGAUCAGGAAUUUGAGCAUAUGCUGGAAGAAUUCAGUAAGGUGGAAGUAAAUGCUGAGCAUGUGAAAAUGAGGAAAUCGCUGGAGACAAUAAAACGACGCUUCCAUCGGGACACCAUUGCUUUGGGAAGAGCACCAGCCUUGCAACACGGCGCUGAUAGUAAUAUUCAUGCCGCCCAUAUACACGAGAAAAUAGUUGAAACGAAUGGCGCUGACUGUCAAAAUGAAUCGAGGCGUAAUGGCAGUUACAGCAAAUUGGAUAUAAAUGCCAGCUUAGAGCUUAAGCGUUCAUUAUUGAACGAUUGCUCAGCGCCUUCUGGUUUAUCCUCACCAUCCCCCUCAUCCGCAUCGGUAUCUGCCUCAUCGGCGGUUUCCUCGAUAACGGUCAGUGGUGGCGGCAACGUCAAUGCAACGAGUGAACGACUGCUAAGUCGUCGCAGCCGGCUAUAUGAUAAUAUAAAUCUUUCAACAAUUUCCGCUGGCAGCAGUAAUCAUCAUUCGCCAUCCCGUUCACUGGGUGCUUCAUUCACAGUACAUAAGCGUGAAGAUAACGAGUAUGAAAAUUGUGCAGUUGCCGCAGAUGCAGCGACUAAAGCGGGUGCACCGAAACAGACUGAAGAAAAAGAAGAGAAUUUGGGAAAGACUGAUGAAGCGCAUGAAAAUGUACACGGAUCAGGGGCUUUGAACAAUUACAACGCUAUUGGCACCUACAGACUCUCAGAACGGCGCGAACGUGACCGCGAUCGUUUUAAGACAAUAAAAAUUGUCAAAGGAAGCAGUGCGAAUGACGUUCUUGCAGCUGUAAAUGUGCCUUGCAUCGAUGAUGAAAUUGCGUGUGUAGAGAGCGUAUCUGACGACAACGCUGCAGUCUUCAAUAAUAAUAAAUCAGAAAUUGAAGCGGAAAAGGACGUUGUGUCGGCAACUGGAAAUCAAAACACCUUCAAGAAAUCCACGACGGCAUCAAAAAUCAAUCCGAAUUUUUUAACAUACAAGAAGCCGAAAGAUAAACCAACACUCGGCGGAAAUUUGCCGGAAAUAGGAUGCGACGCAUUAGUCAGCAAUGAGGAGUUCGAAAAGACACCAGAAACGCCCAGCCGUUUACGUUCACGUUCACGCCCGCGUUAUAUUUCCGGUUUACAAAAGAUGACGGUGGUUAAAGCGAUUUCGGCGGGCGAUUUGGAUCGUGCUACAGCGCCUGGCUUGCGACCGCCUAACGCCAGCGUCAGUCAUGCUGGGCUCAACAACUGUCAGGAUGCUUGCGCUGAGAAGACUGCCACGAACACUAAAUACCAACGCAACACGCAACCUUUGAAGACAUCAACGGAUGACGUUAAAUCCCCAAUGGGCACCAAGUCAAAAUCCUUCCACAACUUAUCGAGUAAUUUUGGUUUUAAUGGCAGCGCAAGUGGCCUGUCGGCGGGACGCAACAGCAGUUUUGGCUUAAAGAAGCCCACCACUUUUGAAAGCAAUGGUUUUUCCACAAACUCUGCGAGGGAGCGCACUGGCAACGGUACGCCGAAUGCCACGCUGCAGCUGCAAGCCGACGAAGCAGUUUUCAAGGUACCCAAGCUUAUGUCUGGCCUACGUGCGCCUGGUGUGAAACGCGCCAGCCUGGUGCGGCCCUCCUCCGGUUACUAUAGUCUCAACAGUCUUGCCGCCAAGGGUAUGCCACCGUUGCCGCAAGCGCCACAAACACAGCCAGCGAAUGAUGCCGAUUCUGAUAGCGGCGGCAGGCAUUCACCCACAGAAAGCAUGUCUUCAGCUUCAUCGCGUAGCAGCUUACACAGUGGCGGCGGCGGUGGUAGCAAUAUUGGCAAGCCGGUUGCAUCCGCUACUGCUUCAAAGCCCGUAUCUUUCGCCAACACUAACACAUUGAACCUGACUAAGAUUACCACUGGUUCAACGGGUAUACCGAAGCCAUCUGGCCUGCGGCCGCCUACAACGAACAUCAAGCGCAGCGGUUUGCCCAAGCCAGCCACAGCUAUGGCGCGACGAUAAACCGUAUGUCACACACACAUACUACAUUGCAAUACAAACAACUACGUAUUUUAUAUAUAUAUUACUAAGCGGAAUUUAGUCAAGUUGGCAAUGUGACUAUGAAAUCAAAUGAAGGAAAUGUAUUGAGCUGAAGGCAUUUCUUUGUGCUCUCUUAAGUUGCCACAACUAAGAUUAUUUUUUUAUAUAUACAUACAUAUAUUUAAUUUUAUUUCGACACGAAUUCGAUUCUUGUACUUUAUGUAUAACUUAGAAGACAGAAACAAACGAAAGAGAACAAUAACAAAAAAUGAGCGAAAAACAUACGUAUACAAUGAUUAUUAGAUACUGAGAAAUUUCAAAUUCGAAUAUUAGCAAUGCAUAUAAUGAAUAACUAUUUCCUUAAGAGAAAUUAUUAUCAAUUUCAAUUAUAUGUAUGUGCGUUAAUUAAAUUUAGAACAAAAAAAAAUACUAUUAAAUGAUUUAACUAAAAACAAAACGGCGAACUUGAACUAUUAAGAAACAGAGAGAAGAGAAACUGCCGCGAAGAAAAUGAGUGGCGAUUCUAGCUGAGUGCUUCUGAGCGCUACCUCGUCUGAACAGUUUCAUCAGGGGACGCAAGAGGAGGGAAGAAUGCCUUAUUUUUUCUGAAAAUGUUAGAGGCGUGGCUGUUGUAGCUGGCCAUCGAUGACUCGUCGUAAGUGUAGUGGAGAACAUGGAAAGUAAUCGCCGUAAAAUGUUGUGACUUUCGUUCGUUUUCUCUUCCUAAAGUAUGUAUUUAUAAAGCAUUACGAACAAAAUGAAAUGGAAAACAAUAACUACUGCUCACAAAUAUUAAAAACAAAUUUACGAAAAGAAAAGAAGUAUGAUUAAAAGAAAAUAAAAUAAAUGUAUACUCUUUUGUUGCUAAACAAUUAAAAGUAAUUGCUGUUUAAUUAUUAAAUAGUUUUUUUAUACAUUCUGUUGCAUUCAAAAUCCUUAGUGUAUUCAUUAAAUAAAAGCAUUUCAUUGUCCAAUUGCUUAAAACUUAAUAUAUGCAUACAUACAACAUACAACAUAACAUAACAUAAUUUCGUGCCAAUUUCAAUUUCUACAACAUACAUUGUAAAUCAGAUUGUAUCAUUUAGCAUAUCCAUAUAAUGGUGCCGUUAAACGUUUGUUUAUAAAUCAGUGCAUAAGCAUAAAAAAGCUUAAGCUUACACGCCACCGCCACGUAAACUUUUGUCGUUUUACUGCUCCACACUUAGUUUUGCUAUGUACUCUACUAUUGUGUUUUUUUUUGUUUUUUGCCUUAUGAUGCCAAGGUCAAAUAAAAACUGCUUUUACGCAAACUUAUCAGUGACUGCAUAACUACAACAAAAGGUUACGUCAAUUCGAUAAGUGGCUCAUCUGCUGAACACAAUCACACACCCACAAAACAUACAUACAUAUAAUAUUUAUAUAGUAUAUUCAUGUUUAUAAUAUGUAUAGUUAUAUAAAAAAAAUAUACGCAAAAUGUGCUUUACUCAUUGCUUUUUGUUCACAAAAAAGAAAAUUGUUGAUGCUGCAUACACUUUCAUACGUACGUACAAUGAUACAAAUAUGUUUUUGCAUCAAACGUACGUACAUAUGUACAUUCUUUUUUAUGUGCGCUUGAACUCAUGCAAUUGCUCAUUUUUUAUGAUCUUUGUCAACCGCUGUUAUUUUUCGCUGCAGAAAUUUUUGCUCGCUUUAAGCUGGAGUUUUUUUUUGCUCAGCGUCGCCUUUGAGCUUUAUUGAAAUAACCGAUCAUAUCAAAUCGAAUUGUUGCUUGGGGAAAAUCUGCAUGCGGGAAAGAUAUGCUGUUGAUAGAUUGACUUUUUUUUGACGUUUAAGGAUUAGUGAAUUUUAAUUGAAUUAUGGAAGCUCAAAAUUAAUAUUGAACAAUUAAUCUUUUUAUAUAGUCUCGAAGGUUGAUUAGAUAGAAAUUAGCCAAAUUGAACAUUUAUUUAUUUAUUUGCUUAAUUAUCACAGAUAAGCAGGAAAAAAAUAACACGUUAUACAAAAUUACAAAAAAUCUAUUUUUCUCUUACACGGCGUUUACAUGAGAAUUUACCCAGUAGCGAAAAUGGUCACUGGUGACAUCGUCACUAAUGGAGAUUUGGUGACAUCGUCGCUCUUGCUGUGAAUCCUAAGCGACAUAUAGCUGACAAUGACACUGGUGAGAAUGUUAUGCAGGUGUACUCCUAUCAAAGACGUAUAACAGACAAUGUCUUGCAGCGGUCACUUAUAAAAAGUUCAUUGCAGUACAUUGUCGCUUGAAUAUCAUCAAUGAUCACUGCAUGACAAAGUCAUCCAGAUGCCAUCAACGACUGAAGACUUGAUAUGGCCGUACAAGACACUUAAGUGACUAAUUCAUGACAUUCGCUACGGGGUUGCCAAGACAAUAGAAAUACAUUCACACUUUUUCACUAAACACUCACACAAAGACCAUUAAUUGUUUUCUUAAUUAAUUGUCUGACAAUUGUCUUCGUCACUGUCUUUGAUUUUUCAAAGACAGUGAAUUGGACAAUUCGGUCACGUCUUGGUUAAUUUGAAAAAAAAAGACAAGACAAAAUCGCAAAAAAUCGCAGAAUUAUGAAAAAGUGCAUUGUGUUAGGACAUUUUAGUAAAUAAUAUGAAAUUCACGCCAAACGACACUAACGGCGGUUGCUGAAAAAUGUAUUGUCUUUAUAAUUGUCUGGAUGCCUACUUUACACUACAAUUUACAACUAAUGCUGCUUUUACAUAAGACAAUUUGAGUCAAGACAAUUGAGACUAAAUUGUUUAUUAGUUGUCAGAGCCAGCUAUUUGAUUACAACAAGAAUAUUCAAAAUUUUAAAUUUUGACGCAUUUUUUUUUUUUAAUUUCAGGACGAAAUACACGCCUGGAACGGACUGCAAAAAUACAAGUACAUAGAAUACUUAAUUAUUUUGAGUUUCAAGCAUAACCUCAAAAAUAAAAAAAGUUUAUAUUGCAAAAUUUCGAGUAAGUGGGAAUGAAGUAUCCAUUUUGAAUGAGGCCUCUUAUUAUCCGAUUGUAAAAAAGAUAUACAAAAUUUAUUUCCCGUUGUUAAUGUUAUUUUUUUUGUUGCUUGAUUUUUUCUUGGCUGCAGGACAAAUAAAAAGCAUUAUAAUUAUAGAAAAGUCUUUUAAACCAAAAGCAAAAUUGUUUAUUACAGAAUUAAGUCAAUAAGCAUUCAAAUUCAAAAAAAAAUAUUGUAAAACUCAAGAUUCCAAAAUUUAAUGUGAGUUUCAACGCAAUUUUGCCUAAAAUUGAUUUUAAAUUAGGUCCUUUAUUAUUUCCUCGUAAAAAGUAUAGAAAAUUUAAUUCCCACUGAUAAUUAUUAUUUUUAUUUAUUUAUCCAAAGCUCUCGUUCGACCAAAAAAACCUGUCUAGUUUAAAACGGUCUUUAACAUUUAAGCAAAGUUGUUAAACAAUUAAAUCAAUAGGCAAUGCUUUGGAAAAUUUUCGUUUCCGAAUAUCACCUCAAAUUUUAAAAACCUAAUUUCUACCAAAAAUUUAUUUCAAAUAAGCAAAAGGAUAUAAAAAAAAUAGUUCCGUAUGAAAAAUACAAAGUUUAGUUGAUUUUUUCUUAGUUUCAUCACAAAGUGCAACCGGCUUUUAGUGAAAACAUGCAUCAAGAAAAAAAAA